This 389-nucleotide ribosomal RNA is filed under the name Syndiniales sp. Its description in RNAcentral is "partial small subunit ribosomal RNA". It matches the Rfam family "Eukaryotic small subunit ribosomal RNA", at positions 582 to 975 of the family's 1831-position model. The record is from RNAcentral. Lineage: Eukaryota; Dinophyceae; Syndiniales.
AUUCCAGCUCCAAUAGCGUAUAUUAAAGUUGUUGCGGUUAAAAAGCUCGUAGUUGGAGUUCUGCCAGGUGGCGCUCGUCCGCCCAAGUGGUGUGUACAGGGCGUGCAUCUGGCCCUUUCAAGGGGAACGUGUCUGCACUUCAUUGUGUGGUGCGAGAUCCUUGACUUUUACUUUGAGGAAAUAAGAGUGUUCCAAGCAGGCUCUCGUCGUGCAUAGCUCAGCAUGGAAUAAUAGCAUUGGACCUCGAUUCUAAGCUGUUGGUUGCCAGAAGCGAGGUAAUGAUUAAUAGGGAUAGUUGGGGGCGUUUAUAUUCCGUUGUCAGAGGUGAAAUUCUUGGAUUUACGGAAGAUAAACUACUGCGAAAGCAUUCGCCAAGGAUGCUUUCAUUG